CACGGGGUGGAGCAGCCUGGUAGCUCGUCGGGCUCAUAACCCGAAGGUCGUCGGUUCAAAUCCGGCCCCCGCAACCA
Molecule: transfer RNA, 77 nt
Filed under: Escherichia coli
Lineage: Bacteria; Pseudomonadati; Pseudomonadota; Gammaproteobacteria; Enterobacterales; Enterobacteriaceae
Also listed under: 4 other names
Description: tRNA-Met
Rfam family: tRNA
About the family: Transfer RNA (tRNA) molecules are approximately 80 nucleotides in length. Their secondary structure includes four short double-helical elements and three loops (D, anti-codon, and T loops).
Source: RNAcentral